GGGGAAUUUUCCGCAAUGGGCGAAAGCCUGACGGAGCGACACCGCGUGGAGGACGAAAUUUUUCGGAAUGUAAACUCCUUUUGGCAGGCAUGAAACAAAUGACAGUACCUGCAGAAUAAGCAUCGGCUAACUACGUGCCAGCAGCCGCGGUAAUACGUAGGAUGCGAGCGUUGUUCGGAAUUACUGGGCAUAAAGAGUACGUAGGCGGCAAUGAAAGUCUGAUAUUAAAGACUGGGGCUUAACCUCAGGAGUGUAUCGGAAACUUCAUAGCUAGAGGACAGUAGAGGAAGUCGGAAUUCCCAGUGUAGCGGUGAAAUGCGUAGAUAUUGGGAGGGACACCAGUGGCGAAAGCGGACUUCUGGGCUGUGACUGACGCUGAGGUACGAAAGUGUGGGGAGCAAAC
RNAcentral lists this ribosomal RNA (403 nucleotides) under uncultured bacterium. Its description in RNAcentral is "bacterial SSU rRNA". It matches the Rfam family "Bacterial small subunit ribosomal RNA", at positions 356 to 773 of the family's 1533-position model. The record is from RNAcentral.